CCUACGGGAGGCAGCAGUGGGGAAUAUUGGACAAUGGGCGCAAGCCUGAUCCAGCCAUGCCGCGUGAGUGAUGAAGGCCCUAGGGUUGUAAAGCUCUUUCAGCGAGGAGGAUAAUGACGUUACUCGCAGAAGAAGCCCCGGCUAACUUCGUGCCAGCAGCCGCGGUAAU
RNAcentral lists this ribosomal RNA (169 nucleotides) under uncultured bacterium. RNAcentral describes it as "partial 16S ribosomal RNA". It matches the Rfam family "Bacterial small subunit ribosomal RNA", at positions 338 to 524 of the family's 1533-position model. RNAcentral also lists the same sequence under 1 other name. The record is from RNAcentral.